AGACGUCUACAUUAGAUACCCGGGUAGUCCCAGCCGUAAACUAUGCGCGUUAGGUGUAUCGGUGACCACGAGUCACCGAGGUGCCGAAGGGAAACCGUGAAACGUGCCGCCUGGGAAGUACGGUCGCAAGGCUGAAACUUAAAGGAAUUGGCGGGGAGCACCACAACGGGUGGAGCCUGCGGUUUAAUUGGAUUCAACGCCGGACAUCUCACCGGAUAAGACAGCUGAAUGAUUGUCAAUCUGAAGGUUUUACAUGACUAGCUG
RNAcentral lists this ribosomal RNA (264 nucleotides) under uncultured archaeon. Its description in RNAcentral is "partial 16S ribosomal RNA". It matches the Rfam family "Archaeal small subunit ribosomal RNA", at positions 717 to 982 of the family's 1478-position model. The record is from RNAcentral.